CAGCAGGUUUGUAGCAAUACAGAUGCUGGCGACCGGCAAACGGGUGCGGAACACGUACACAACCUUCCUUUAAGUGGGGAAUAGCCCAGAGAAAUUUGGAUUAAUACCCCGUAAUAUUAUGAUGUGGCAUCACAUUAUAAUUAUAGCUCCGGCGCUUAAUGAUGGGUGUGCGGCUGAUUAGAUAGUUGGCGGGGUAACGGCCCACCAAGUCUGCGAUCAGUAACUGGUGUGAGAGCACGACCAGUCACACGGGCACUGAGACACGGGCCCGACUCCUACGGGAGGCAGCAGUAAGGAAUAUUGGUCAAUGGACGCAAGUCUGAACCAGCCAUGCCGCGUGGAGGAUGAAGGUCCUCUGGAUUGUAAACUUCUUUUAUAUGGGACGAAAAAGGGCCUUUCCAGGUCAACUGACGGUACCAUAUGAAUAAGCACCGGCUAACUCCGUGCCAGCAGCCGCGGUAAUACGGAGGGUGCAAGCGUUAUCCGGAUUCACUGGGUUUAAAGGGUGCGUAGGUGGGUUGGUAAGUCAGCGGUGAAAUCUCCGAGCUUAACUUGGAAACUGCCAUUGAUACUAUCAGUCUUGAAUAUUGUGGAGGUUAGCGGAAUAUGUCAUGUAGCGGUGAAAUGCUUAGAUAUGACAUAGAACACCAAUUGCGAAGGCAGCUGGCUACGCAUAUAUUGACACUGAGGCACGAAAGCGUGGGGAUCAAACAGGAUUAGAUACCCUGGUAGUCCACGCCCUAAACUAUGGAUACUCGACAUACGCGAUACACAGUGUGUGUCUGAGCGAAAGCAUUAAGUAUCCCACCUGGGAAGUACGAUCGCAAGAUUGAAACUC
This 838-nucleotide ribosomal RNA is filed under the name uncultured Flavobacteriaceae bacterium. RNAcentral describes it as "bacterial SSU rRNA". It matches the Rfam family "Bacterial small subunit ribosomal RNA", at positions 70 to 902 of the family's 1533-position model. Lineage: Bacteria; Pseudomonadati; Bacteroidota; Flavobacteriia; Flavobacteriales; Flavobacteriaceae. The record is from RNAcentral.